AUACGGAGGGUGCAAGCGUUGCUGGGAAUCACUGGGCGUAAAGCGCGCGCAGGCGGCUAUUUAAGUUGGAUGAGAAAGCCUAUGGCUCAACCAUAGAACUGCAUCCAAAACUAUUUAGCUAGAGUGUGGGAGAGGAAGAUGGAAUUAGUUGUGUAGGGGUAAAAUCCGCAGAGAUAACUAGGAAUACCAAAAGCGAAGGCAAUCUUCUGGAACACUACUGACGCUGAGGCGCGAAAGCGUGGGGAGCAAACGGGAUUAGAUACCCCAGUAGUCC
This 274-nucleotide ribosomal RNA is filed under the name uncultured bacterium. RNAcentral's name for it is "partial 16S ribosomal RNA". It matches the Rfam family "Bacterial small subunit ribosomal RNA", at positions 523 to 796 of the family's 1533-position model. The record is from RNAcentral.